This 68-nucleotide transfer RNA is filed under the name Marmota monax (woodchuck). It matches the Rfam family "tRNA". Rfam says of the family: Transfer RNA (tRNA) molecules are approximately 80 nucleotides in length. Their secondary structure includes four short double-helical elements and three loops (D, anti-codon, and T loops). Further hydrogen bonds mediate the characteristic L-shaped molecular structure. tRNAs have two regions of fundamental functional importance: the anti-codon, which is responsible for specific mRNA codon recognition, and the 3' end, to which the tRNAs corresponding amino acid is attached (by aminoacyl-tRNA synthetases). tRNAs cope with the degeneracy of the genetic code in two manners: having more than one tRNA (with a specific anti-codon) for a particular amino acid; and 'wobble' base-pairing, i.e. permitting non-standard base-pairing at the 3rd anti-codon position. The record is from Rfam by way of RNAcentral. Lineage: Eukaryota; Metazoa; Chordata; Mammalia; Rodentia; Sciuridae.
GGAGUUGUAGCUCAGUGGACAGUGCUUGCCUAGCAUGCAUGAGGCACUGAGUUUGAUCCUCAGCACCA